UUCCAAAAAGAAAAAAAACUGAGUGUUAAUUAACAAAACGUGAACUUUAGUCAGUUGAAAUAAUGGACCCAAUUCUGAUCGUGACUGAAUUGUGCCAUAUUGCCUGCAGCUAAUGACACUUUCGGUUUCCUAAUCGAAGAAAGUAAGAAGUUCGAUUCCGUACGAUACUUAAGUGAAAUCAUUUUGUCGUUUGCUAAUUUAGUCAUCAGUCUUCUUUUGAGACGCGAGGUUAUUGUGUAUUAAAUAGAUUUUUAAGGACUUUAUCAUGAACGUUCUCUCAUCAGCAGUUUUAGCUAUAAGUUUUAUUUAUGUUUUUGGAAUUCACGCUUCUAAUUUAACACAGUAUAAUCAUAGUGAGAGUGAUAUUUUAGUGCGAAAAGCUAGAUGGCUGCCCUUGAUUUAUCCUAGAGCCAAUCCUACUCGAAUACAGAUGAUCGUAGGCUUUGGUGUACCAGUGGAAGACCUCAAAGUAGAGUCUGUGGUAACGGGUUAUGUCUUAAAGGCUCACUAUUACUUGCCAUACUCCGUCAAGCAGUUAAGGACCAAGGAUGUGCAUAAAAUCUCAGCCCGAAGGCUGCCGCAGAAUGCCACAAUCUUCGAUAAGGUGAUGCAGAUGUCUGAACAAAAACUGGGCUUGGAUCCAAAUAUCCUGGAGGAGGAUCUCCAGGCUUGGGGCAGUUAUCGCUGGUCGGUCUACGAGGCUUUUACGGCUUUGGCCAUUCGCAUGAAGCUAAAUGGAAGGGUUUGCGUUCUGAAGAGCAUCUGCGAAAGUGCGACGGCUCCCUUCGACGAUCGAAAUGGUUUGCUGGGCGAAGUGCUUCACAUCCUGCUCACACCGUCUAGUUCGGUGGAUCCGCUGUCGGAACACUCGGACAACGAUUACCUGCAGGCCGAGCGAUUGGGAGCAGCUGGUAGCGAUUGCGAUCAGGUGUAUCCGAGGUGUCCCACAUCCCUGCUGGAGCACUUCAGUGAUGUGCAUCAUCUGGGCAGCGAGUUCCUUAGCAUGUUGGGCUGAAGCGGCAGCUUGGUGAAGCCUUUAAAUUGUGAUAUUGAUAUAUAUAAAUUAAUUAUUAAGGGGUUUUGGUACUGGAAUGCACACACUUGCUUGGAAAACAUUUAAGUAAUAAGUUAAAAUUAAAUUUAAAAUACACUCCUUGAUUUUAGGAACAUUGACUUAAUCUUAGCAACAAUUUCCUUAAAUGUUGUAUGGAAGGCUCAAAUUUAAGGCAAUUAUUCAUAAAACCUAAGCAAUUUUUCCCAAAAUCAAGGAAUUUAGUUUUCUGAGUGUAGGUAUAAUAUAUUACCUAUAAACAAAUUUCAAAUUAAAAUUAUUCUUGGUAAUCUUUGUUCAAAACUCAAAUGGAAAUAAGAUUUCACUCGGCUAUUAAUUAGUUUUUUAAUCUUAACUUCUAUAGGAACUUUUUUUUUAGUUUUUUGAAUAUUGUUUUUAUUCCUAUUUCCCAAACUUAUUAUGUAGUAAAAUUAGUUGAUUGUCAGUUUCCGUAUAGGGGCUUUCUCGGCUCUGAGAACGGUGGUGGCCUUUGGCACUUCCUCUCCGGUUGAUUUCAUCGGCAAGGGCGUAAAAUUUAUGCAAAUAUCCACAUAAUAACUCUUUUUGUUCUCCUGUCCUGGCCUCAUCAUCAUCUUCGGAUAUUCCUCCACGCUCGGGUGGUCUUUUCUCCUCUCCAGCUAUCAAAGCGUACGCAUCUCCCGUCUUUAAGGCCUAUUGUCUUCUAAUUCAAUAAUUACAGCCCGAGCUUUGGCUACCGGGGAAUACCCAGACCCAGACCCACCACCGUCUUGGGAUCGCCUCGUGUUUUUCUCCAUGGUACCUGGUACAAAUAGGCGUUUAAAUGCAAAUGUCUGCGCUGUAAUUAAUACGCAUAAUACGCGUAUUAUGCUAAUGCCAAUGUCAUAAUGACUUGAGGAAACCCGAAAAGAAAGACGAAAAUAUGCAUUUCACACUCACAUUCGGGGUUCCUCAGUUGGGCUCAGUCAUAUAUUCAUCACUGGCGGAGCUGCAUAGUUAAUGCCCUUACGUACUAAUUAGCUUUGACAAAAUGUAUACACAAUCAAAAACAAAGCUACUAAAAAUUAGUAGUCGAGUCGAGGGGACUUUCUCUAACGAAGCACCAGUUCCCAGACAAGUGCCUCCACUGUCUGCGAUGACAAAGUCCCGAUAAGAGUUGGAAUAUAUUUUGACAGGAGUCAGACUGAGAUCGGGAUCAUGGGCAUCCAAACAUAAACUAGAGGCGAGAUGCACCUUUCACAAUUUUCAUGUUCUGUUGUGAUUACCCUUAACCCCUACGGAUCCCCACAUUUUCAGUUGGGUGGCGGGGGGUAGGGACAAUAAUUUUCAUUUUCAUUGCCUUUCUUUGGAAACAAUUUGUAGGAACAUGCGACUUAACGAAGUAAUCAGAGGCCAACUCCGAGGAGCGGGGGCCAGAUGCUUAUCCGAUGCCAGAAAAACCAGCCAGCCAGUAAGCCAGCCAGGCAGACAGUCAGACAGCCAGCAAGCGACAACUAUUUUAUGGCCUUAUGUGAGGAGGAUGCUGCUAACCCAUCCUUUAUUCUGCUGGCUUUAUAUGGCUGGGAUUGCUAUUUUUGGUAACCCUUUUGCUGCUGCCUCCGGGCUGAAAAGUGGGUUACCAUGGUCUGGAAUUUAUGCUGCGUAAUAAUUCUUGGUCCACAACUAAGUUGGUAAAAACAAUGUAACAAAUUGUUGUGCUCAUACCUGGAGGAGGGCGCUGCGUAUGCAAAUUCACCGACUGCAAAUGCCAACUAUGUCAGCUAUGGCUUCCCAAAUGGGGGGUGGCCACCGGGGUGACCCCGACCCCUGCGGCACUAACUAACCCACAGCCAGCCAUUAAUUUCCCAUCAACGGGUUUUUACGUUGCUUUAUCGCUCAAUUCGAAAUGACUUUUGAUGGCAUUUCCACUCGAUCUAUAUCGCUACUCGAGUUUAACGGGUACGGAUACCAAGUCCCCCCAGAGGGCCCCAUAAAAUUACACAGAUCUUAUCGCAGAUUUCGUAUAUUUCAUGCUAAUUAAAACGCCCAGAUAUUUGUUUAGCGAUAGACAAUAAUUAAUUGUGCUUAUUUCUUUUCUUCCCCCCAUUCUCCACCUGUUCCCAUCGCAUCCAAAAAAGAAAAAAAAACACAGUUCUGCUGAUUGAGCUGUAUCUAUGUGGCAUCAGUUUCAGUUGGUUUGGGGCGCAAUAAACCAAAUCAAACCGUGGGAUGGAGCCCUUUUGGCUACUCCCCCAGCACCACCAUGACGUAUGCACAUUGUCAUCAUAACUCUGGCCAUUGUCUCUGAUUCCGACUCCCAGAUAUAUGUGUAUUUUUCUUUGCUUUCGCAUAAUGCCGUCUGGGGAUGAGUGUGUUUUUGCGGGGGCGUGUGUGUGAACUGCAGUUUAUUAUUUAAACAACGUGACUAAAUUUACGUAGUGCCAAAGGAGAGCGAGACUCUGGGAGAAAAAAACACCCGCAGGUGGUAAAACAAUAAUAGUAAACGCUUGCACAAUGGAACAGGCCAUAAAAGGGGUGGCAAAUAUUAUAUAAUA
Molecule: RNA transcript, 3564 nt
Organism: Drosophila gunungcola (fruit fly)
Lineage: Eukaryota; Metazoa; Arthropoda; Insecta; Diptera; Drosophilidae
Exons: 4
Source: RefSeq, a predicted model, not a curated record